CGUGCUGUCUUCGUAGAUCUCGAGCCCACUGUGAUUGAUGAGGUGAGGACUGGCGCUUACCGCCAGCUCUUCCACCCUGAGCAGCUUAUCAGUGGCAAGGAGGAUGCAGCCAACAACUUCGCCCGUGGUCAUUACACCAGUAAGUGCUGUGCUCUUUGUUUGUAAUGAUGACAGUACACCACUUUUGCUCGUCAUCUGGCUGACUUUUGCUGUGCCUAUUGCAGUUGGCAAGGAGAUUGUUGAUCUGUGCCUUGACCGUAUCAGGAAGCUUUCAGACAACUGCACUGGUCUCCAGGGAUUCCUUGUCUUCAACGCUGUUGGAGGUGGAACUGGCUCUGGCCUUGGUUCUCUUCUGCUGGAGCGCCUCUCUGUUGACUAUGGAAAGAAGUCCAAGCUUGGGUUCACAGUGUACCCAUCACCCCAGGUCUCCACCUCUGUUGUUGAGCCAUACAACAGUGUCCUGUCCACCCACUCCCUCCUUGAGCACACUGAUGUGUCUAUCCUUCUUGACAAUGAGGCCAUCUAUGACAUCUGCCGCCGCUCCCUUGACAUUGAGCGCCCAACAUACACCAACCUCAACAGGCUUGUUUCUCAGGUACAGUCUUGUUUCUGCAUGGCUACAUGUUUUCUGUUUGAUGUUUGUUUCAAGUUGCAGUUCCUAAUAAUGUUUGACUGAGAUCUAAUUCAUUGGUUAAACAUCUAAUGUGCAGGUCAUUUCAUCGCUGACAGCUUCCCUGAGGUUUGAUGGUGCUCUGAAUGUUGAUGUCAAUGAAUUCCAGACCAACUUGGUGCCCUACCCGAGGAUCCACUUCAUGCUUUCCUCCUAUGCCCCAGUGAUCUCAGCUGAGAAGGCCUACCAUGAGCAGCUGUCUGUUGCUGAGAUCACCAACAGCGCCUUUGAGCCUUCAUCUAUGAUGGCCAAGUGUGACCCCCGCCACGGCAAGUACAUGGCCUGCUGUCUCAUGUACCGUGGUGAUGUUGUUCCCAAGGAUGUCAACGCUGCUGUGGCCACCAUCAAGACCAAGCGCACUAUCCAGUUUGUUGACUGGUGCCCCACUGGCUUCAAGUGUGGUAUCAACUACCAGCCACCAGGUGUUGUCCCAGGUGGUGACCUUGCCAAGGUCCAGAGGGCUGUGUGCAUGAUCUCCAACUCCACCAGUGUCGUCGAGGUCUUCUCCCGCAUUGACCACAAGUUUGACCUCAUGUACGCCAAGCGUGCCUUCGUCCACUGGUACGUCGGUGAGGGCAUGGAGGAGGGAGAGUUCUCUGAGGCCCGUGAGGAUCUUGCUGCCCUGGAGAAGGACUAUGAAGAAGUUGGUGCUGAGUUCGACGAGGGUGAGGACGGUGACGAGGGCGACGAGUACUAGAGCCUGCCUCCUGGUGCUUUCGCAAGGCGUGCUGCUGCUAUCCCAUGAUCUGCCCGAGUGGCUUUAUCUGUUAUCUGUCUGUUUGAAUCUUUGCUUUGUGGUGUUUGUUUUACAACCUGUUGUGUUGUAAGACCCUUGUAUCUUUGAACCUGUUAUGCACCUUGGUUAAUAUGCAUGCUAUCUGGUUAUCUACACCAUAGCCUUAAUUGCUCUGUCUCCAUUUUCCUGUUUUAUACUAAUUUGUAUUGUUUCAUUUGUGGUACUGUUGAACUCUGCCUAUUAUCUCAACAUAGCCGGUCGGAAGCCCGAGUGAAGGAGUGUUGGUGAGAUGCUUGGCGAGCCAUUGUUUCAG
Molecule: long non-coding RNA, 1719 nt
Filed under: Triticum aestivum (bread wheat)
Lineage: Eukaryota; Viridiplantae; Streptophyta; Magnoliopsida; Poales; Poaceae
Description: long non-coding RNA (TAES_LNC025651)
Source: RNAcentral